GCCAAAACAAACUGAAUCAAUAUCCAUUAAAAUUGGGAAAAUUCAUCUAUCCUAAUCUAUGGAACCAACUCUCAACACUUCGAAACGAACUCGAAACUGCAAUAAUUCCUCUAAUUGAAGCUCGAUUCAACAACAGACGAGCCGAUACUGAACAAAGGAAGAACGAGUUAGAAUCAGAAUCAGAAACAAAAUCAGAGCAAAUUUUGCCAUAUCUUGAUACAUUGAUAAACCUACACUUACCAGAAGAGAAUCGGAAGCUUGAAGAAGGUGAAAUCAUCAGUCUAUGCGCGGAAUUUCUCAAUGGAAUCGUCCAUUCCACAGUAGUGGUGAUGGAGUGGGCAAUGGCAAACAUCGUAAAAUAUCCAGAAGUCCAAGAGAAGCUAUGGAGAGAGAUGAAUCAAGUAAUGAAUAUAACAUCAUCGAAAGAACACAUAACAGAGGAGGAUCUAAAGAAAUUGCCGUACCUGAAAGCGGUGAUAAUGGAAACGUUGAGGCGGCAUCCGCCAGGGCAUUUGGCUCUACCACACUUGGUGACGGAGGAGGUGGUGUUGGACGGAAAAUUUGUUGUGCCGGAAAAGACAACGGUGCAUUUUGCGGCAGCGGAG
RNAcentral lists this long non-coding RNA (605 nucleotides) under Cucumis sativus (cucumber). RNAcentral describes it as "long non-coding RNA (CSAT_LNC000797)". Lineage: Eukaryota; Viridiplantae; Streptophyta; Magnoliopsida; Cucurbitales; Cucurbitaceae. The record is from RNAcentral.